Molecule: ribosomal RNA, 786 nt
Filed under: uncultured Pseudomonas sp.
Lineage: Bacteria; Pseudomonadati; Pseudomonadota; Gammaproteobacteria; Pseudomonadales; Pseudomonadaceae
Description: partial 16S ribosomal RNA
Source: RNAcentral
CACUAAAGCCUCAAAGGCCCCAACGGCUAGUAGACAUCGUUUACGGCAUGGACUACCAGGGUAUCUAAUCCUGUUUGCUCCCCAUGCUUUCGCACCUCAGCGUCAGUGUUAGGCCAGAUGGCUGCCUUCGCCAUCGGUAUUCCUCCAGAUCUCUACGCAUUUCACCGCUACACCUGGAAUUCUACCAUCCUCUCCCACACUCUAGCUAACCAGUAUCGAAUGCAAUUCCCAAGUUAAGCUCGGGGAUUUCACAUUUGACUUAAUUAGCCGCCUACGCGCGCUUUACGCCCAGUAAAUCCGAUUAACGCUUGCACCCUCUGUAUUACCGCGGCUGCUGGCACAGAGUUAGCCGGUGCUUAUUCUGUCGGUAACGUCAAAACAGCAAGGUAUUAACUUACUGCCCUUCCUCCCAACUUAAAGUGCUUUACAAUCCGAAGACCUUCUUCACACACGCGGCAUGGCUGGAUCAGGCUUUCGCCCAUUGUCCAAUAUUCCCCACUGCUGCCUCCCGUAGGAGUCUGGACCGUGUCUCAGUUCCAGUGUGACUGAUCAUCCUCUCAGACCAGUUACGGAUCGUCGCCUUGGUGAGCCAUUACCCCACCAACUAGCUAAUCCGACCUAGGCUCAUCUGAUAGCGCAAGGCCCGAAGGUCCCCUGCUUUCUCCCGUAGGACGUAUGCGGUAUUAGCGCUCCUUUCGAAACGUUGUCCCCCACUACCAGGCAGAUUCCUAGGCAUUACUCACCCGUCCGCCGCUGAAUCAAGGAGCAAGCUCCCGUCAUCCGCUC